UGGGGAAUAUUGGACAAUGGGCGAAAGCCUGAUCCAGCGACGUCACGUGAAUGAUGAAGACCUUAGGGUUGUAAAAUUCUUUUAGUGGAGAAGAUAAUGACGGUAUCCACAGAAAAAGUCCCGGCUAACUUCGUGCCAGCAGCCGCGGUAAUACGAAGGGGGCAAGCGUUACUCGGAAUUAUUGGGCGUAAAGCGUGCGUAGGCGGCUUUAUAAGUUGGAAGUGAAAGCCUUUGGCUCAACCAAAGAAUUGCUUACAAAACUGUAGAGCUAGAGUAUUAGAGAGGAUAGAAGAAUUUCUGAUGUAGGGGUGAAAUCCGUAGAUAUCAGAAAGAAUAUCGAAGGCGAAAGCAUCUGUCUGGCUAAAUACUGACGCUGUUGCACGAAAGCGUGGGGAGCAAA
RNAcentral lists this ribosomal RNA (400 nucleotides) under uncultured bacterium. RNAcentral's name for it is "bacterial SSU rRNA". It matches the Rfam family "Bacterial small subunit ribosomal RNA", at positions 355 to 772 of the family's 1533-position model. The record is from RNAcentral.